RNAcentral lists this long non-coding RNA (457 nucleotides) under Olea europaea subsp. europaea. Lineage: Eukaryota; Viridiplantae; Streptophyta; Magnoliopsida; Lamiales; Oleaceae. The record is from RNAcentral.
AUGGGACACCAAAGGAAUCACAGUUUACUAGUUUUCAUUGGUCGAACUCUUCUUGUGUCUGACAAUUUUUGGGAAAGAAAUACUGGGGCUUGCUUGAAGUUCAAUCAAUGCAGUUAAAAGUUUGUGAAAAUAGUAAAAUCGGGACCGAAGGUCAAGGUUGAAGCGGCCGGUUUUUUUUGUUUAUAUUUUAUGGGUUUUUCUUUCUCUGGUUAAUAUAGCAUAUGAUCAAGUUGAAUUUGAGGCUGGUUCUUGAAUUUUUCGGUUGAAUCAGUCGGUUUGAUCCGAUAUUCGAAACGUUGGUAAUAUGUGUUAAUUGAAUUGAAUUUGAGGCUGGUUCUUGAUUUUUUCGGUUGAGCUAGCGGGUUCGAUUCGAUUUUCAAAACAUUGGUAAUACGUAUAAGUCAAAAGUCCUAAGACUCAAUAUGUAUGCAAAACAGUUAUGGAAAGUCAUCAAGUC